RNAcentral lists this transfer RNA (71 nucleotides) under Acidimicrobiales bacterium. RNAcentral's name for it is "tRNA-Gly". It matches the Rfam family "tRNA". From Rfam's summary of the family: Transfer RNA (tRNA) molecules are approximately 80 nucleotides in length. Their secondary structure includes four short double-helical elements and three loops (D, anti-codon, and T loops). Further hydrogen bonds mediate the characteristic L-shaped molecular structure. tRNAs have two regions of fundamental functional importance: the anti-codon, which is responsible for specific mRNA codon recognition, and the 3' end, to which the tRNAs corresponding amino acid is attached (by aminoacyl-tRNA synthetases). tRNAs cope with the degeneracy of the genetic code in two manners: having more than one tRNA (with a specific anti-codon) for a particular amino acid; and 'wobble' base-pairing, i.e. permitting non-standard base-pairing at the 3rd anti-codon position. The record is from RNAcentral. RNAcentral also lists the same sequence under 1 other name. Lineage: Bacteria; Bacillati; Actinomycetota; Acidimicrobiia; Acidimicrobiales.
GCGGCUGUAGCUCAAUGGCAGAGCUCCUGCCUUCCAAGCAGGUGACGCGGGUUCGAUCCCCGUCAGCCGCU